UGGGAUGUAGCUUAGUGGCAAAGCACUUGCCUAGCAAGUGCAAUGUCCUGGGUUCGAUCCCCAGUACCAA
Non-coding RNA from Dipodomys ordii (Ord's kangaroo rat), 70 nucleotides. The record is from Rfam. Lineage: Eukaryota; Metazoa; Chordata; Mammalia; Rodentia; Heteromyidae.